RNAcentral lists this transfer RNA (90 nucleotides) under Candidatus Gastranaerophilales bacterium. RNAcentral describes it as "tRNA-Ser". It matches the Rfam family "tRNA". Rfam says of the family: Transfer RNA (tRNA) molecules are approximately 80 nucleotides in length. Their secondary structure includes four short double-helical elements and three loops (D, anti-codon, and T loops). Lineage: Bacteria; Bacillati; Candidatus Melainabacteria; Candidatus Gastranaerophilales. The record is from RNAcentral.
GGAGACGUGUCCGAGCGGCUUAAGGUGCAAUCUUGGAAAGGUUGUGUGGGGGAAACUCCACCGUGAGUUCGAAUCUCACCGUCUCCGCCA